CCUACGGGUGGCAGCAGUGAGGAAUAUUGGUCAAUGGGCGUAAGCCUGAACCAGCCAAGUCGCGUGAGGGAUGAAGGUUCUAUGGAUCGUAAACCUCUUUUAUAAGGGAAUAAAGUGUGGGACGUGUCCUGUUUUGUAUGUACCUUAUGAAUAAGGAUCGGCUAACUCCGUGCCAGCAGCCGCGGUAAUACGGAGGAUCCGAGCGUUAUCCGGAUUUAUUGGGUUUAAAGGGUGCGUAGGCGGCCUGUUAAGUCAGCGGUGAAAGUUUGUGGCUCAACCGUAAAAUUGCCGUUGAUACUGGGAGGCUUGAGUAUGUUUGAGGCAGGCGGAAUGCGUGGUGUAGCGGUGAAAUGCUUAGAUAUCACGCAGAACCCCGAUUGCGAAGGCAGCCUGCCAAGCCGUGACUGACGCUGAUGCUCGAAAGCGUGGGGAUCAAACAGGAUUAGAUACCCGUGUAGUC
This 460-nucleotide ribosomal RNA is filed under the name uncultured bacterium. RNAcentral's name for it is "partial 16S ribosomal RNA". It matches the Rfam family "Bacterial small subunit ribosomal RNA", at positions 338 to 795 of the family's 1533-position model. The record is from RNAcentral.